Long non-coding RNA from Carassius gibelio (silver crucian carp), 4836 nucleotides. RefSeq lists it as uncharacterized. NCBI's taxonomy places the organism in Eukaryota, Metazoa, Chordata, Actinopteri, Cypriniformes, Cyprinidae. The record is from RefSeq and is a predicted model, not a curated record. The transcript is spliced from 6 exons.
UCACCAAAUUCGAAUCAAAUGAUCUUCAGGCUAUACUGAUUCAAAGUUAUGGAUUUUGAGUCGAUAGACAAAACCGUUUUCGCAUACCACAUCGACGAAUUUGAGGCACAAUGAGAAAAUGACACUUGAGGCUGUAUCCCUGGAAUGCUUUGGCAUAUUGACACCAAACUUUGUGUGUGUCAUUGAAAAGACACACAGAGUACACCAAAUUGAUUUUAUAACAGUGUCACCUAUUGGUCAAGCUUGAUAAACCAAGUAAUCAUGCUACUAGAGGUGGUAUUAUGAUUUUUUUUUGCCAUUUCAAAUACAAUAAUUCCAGAAUUGCUGUUAUUGCUCAUUAAUGUAUUUGGUGUGAUGCUUUAUGCGAUGCUUAGCUACUACAUUUGCCGUUGGAGUGCUUGGCCCCGUAAUUGCUGCUUGCAGCUAUAUUUAUUCUUCUUCUUCUUCUUCUUCUUCUUCCGCCGCAAGUCUAUGGCAGCCCAUAGAACCGAUUGCGGGAAAGUUGUAUAAUUUGGCACACUGAUAGAGGACAGUCCCAACAUUAACUAUAGCAAAUUUGAAGUCUCUAUCUCCUACUCUCUAGCGCCACCACUUGUCCAAACUUUCAAUGUUUGUAUGCUAAUAACUUUUGAACCGAAAGCCAGAAAAUGGAAAUUCUUUUUUCCUCUGAAACCUUGGCUCAUGCCAAGUCGAAUGAACCCCAAAAUUCAAAAAUCGCAAGGUUUAGUUUUUUCGCUAUUUUCAAUUAUUCGAAAAACCUACUUUUUCGAACUCGUCCUAGACGGUUAGUCCGAUUGCCAAGAAAAUUGGCUCAGAUCAUCUUCAGACCAUGCUGGCAAAAAGUUAUGGAAUUCAAGUUGAUUCGUCCAACUGUUGUCGAAUGACACGUAAACAAAUUUGACGAAAAGCACGCAAACAUGCACGUGAGGCUAUAUCCCGGCAACGGUUUGUCAUAUUGAGACCAAACUUGGCGUGUGUUAUAACAAGCAUGAACUGAGACUACCUGCUGUGUUUCGACACAGCGCCACCUAGUGGUCAGGAGAUAUGAAAAAUGCAUAUUUUGGCUUAUAACUACUGAAUGGUUUGGCCAAAAAUCACACAACUGGUCUCUUUAGAUUCAGUGAGUCAUGUCGAGUCGAAUGAUAUCCAAUUUUCCUGUGUCGGCCAUUUUAGGCGUCGGCCAUUUUGAAUUAUGUUUCAAAAUGCUGUAUUUUUUGAACGCAGCAUCGUAUCGUUUCGCAAAUAAUUACAAAAAUAUUCGGCUCCAUGCCCUGAAGGUACUCAAAAAGUUUGGUGGCAGCGCCACCUUGUGGCCAAUAGUUAUAAUGAAAUAUCACAUAAAUGCUAAUAACUUUUGAAUAAAUUAGUCUAUUAAAAUUAAAAUGGUCUCGCUAUAUUCUGUGGGUCAUGCCGAGAGUAUUGAUACCAAUAAUGUGAAAAUUGGCCUUACUUCCUGUCCGCCAUUUUGCUUAAUGUUGAAAACCUACUUUUUCGAACUCCUCCUAGACCGUUAGCCCAAUUUUCACCAAAUUUGACGUGAAUCAUCUUCAGACCAUGCUGGCAAAAAGUUAUGGAUUUUGUGUCGAUAUACGUAACGGUUCUCAUUUAGCGCAUCAACGAAUUUGCUGGAAGGGUGCCAAAAUGCAUUUGAGGCUGUAUCUCUGCAACACUUUGACAUAUUUGCACCAAACUUUGUAUGUGUCAUCGCCACCUCACACUGACCAUGCCACAUAAAUUUGGUAACAGCGCCACCUAUUGGUCAAGAGUAAUAAACCAUUCAUUAACCAUGAGUAAUUACACUUUUUAAAAUGCUAAUAACUUUUUAAUGCAUUAGCCUAUUUGAAGGAAACUGGGCUCAAAAUAUUCCCUGGCUUAUGCCGAUAACAUAGAUACCAAAUAUACCAUGGUAAGCUGAACUUCCGGUCCGCCAUUUUGAUUUAUGUUGAAAACAUACUUUUUCGAACUCCUCAUCAACCGUAUGUCCGAUUUUCACCAAAUUCGAAUCAAAUGAUCUUCAGACUAUGUUGACACAAAGUUAUGGAUUUUGUGUCGAUAGACAAAACCGUUUUCGCAUACCAAAGCGACGAAGUUGAAACACAAUGACAAAAUGACACUUGAGGCUGCAUCUCUGGAAUGCUGUGGCAUAUUAACACCAAACUUUGUGUGUGUCAUUGAAAAGUCAAACAGAGUACACCAAAUUGAUUUCAUAACAGUGCCACCUAUUGGUCAAACUUUAUAAGCCAAGUAAUCAUGCUACUAGAGGUGGUAUUAUGAUUUUUUUUUUGCCAUUUCAAUUACAAUAAUUCCAAAAUUGCUGUUAUUGCUCAUUAAUGUAUUUGGUGUGAUGCUUCAUGCCAUGCUUAGCUCCUACAUUUGCCGUUGGAGUGCUUGGCCCCGUAAUUGCUGCUUGCAGCUAUAUUUAGGGGCCAAGCACCGAAGGUGCGUAGGCACCUAUUGUUUUCGUUGGCGUUAUUAUUAUUCUUCUUCUUCUUCUUCCGCCGCAAGUCUAUGGCAGCCCAUAGAACCGUUUGCGGGAAAGUUGUAUAAUUUGGCACACUGAUAGAGGACAGUCCCAACAUUAACUAUAGCAAAUUUGAAGCCUCUAACUCCUACUCUCUAGCGCCACCACUUGUCCAAACUUUCAAUGUUUGUAUGCUAAUAACUUUUGAACCGUAAGCCAGAAAAUGGAAAUUCUUUUUUCCUCUGAAUCCUUGGCUCAGGCCAAGUCGAAUGAACCCUAAAAUUCAAAAAUCGCAAGGUUUAGUUUUUUCGCUAUUUUCAAUUAUUCGAAAAACCUACUUUUUCGAACUCGUCCUAGACGGUUAGUCCGAUUGCCACGAAAAUUGGCUCAGAUCAUCUUCAGACCAUGCUGGCAAAAAGUUAUGGAAUUCAAGUUGAUUCGUCCAACUGUUGUCGAAUGACACGUAAACAAAUUUGACGAAAAGCACGCAAACAUGCACGUGAGGCUAUAUCCCGGCAACGGUUUGUCAUAUUGAGACCAAACUUGGCGUGUGUUAUAACAAGCAUGAACUGAGACUACCUGCUGUGUUUCGACACAGCGCCACCUAGUGGUCAGGAGAUAUGAAAAAUGCAUAUUUUGGCUUAUAACUACUGAAUGGUUUGGCCAAAAAUCACACAACUGGUCUCUUUAGAUUCAGUGAGUCAUGUCGAGUCGAAUGAUAUUCAAUUUUCCUGUGUCGGCCAUUUUAGGCGUCGGCCAUUUUGAAUUAUGUUUCUAAAUGCUGUAUUUUUUGAACGCAGCAUCGUAUCGUUUCGCAAAUAAUUACAAAAAUAUUCGGCUCCAUGCCCUGAAGGUACUCAAAAAGUUUGGUGGCAGCGCCACCUUGUGGCCAAUAGUUAUAAUGAAAUAUCACAUAAACGCUAAUAACUUUUGAAUAAAUUAGUCUAUUAAAAUUAAAAUGGUCUCGCUAUAUUCUGUGGGUCAUGCCGAGAGUAUUGAUACCAAUAAUGUGAAAAUUGGCCUUACUUCCUGUCCGCCAUUUUGCUUAAUGUUGAAAACCUACUUUUUCGAACUCCUCCUAGACCGUUAGCCCAAUUUUCACCAAAUUUGACGUGAAUCAUCUUCAGACCAUGCUGGCAAAAAGUUAUGGAUUUUGUGUCGAUAUACGUAACGGUUCUCAUUUAGCGCAUCAACGAAUUUGCUGGAAGGGUGCCAAAAUGCAUUUGAGGCUGUAUCUCUGCAACACUUUGACAUAUUUGCACCAAACUUUGUAUGUGUCAUCGCCACCUCACACUGACCAUGCCACAUAAAUUUGGUAACAGCGCCACCUAUUGGUCAAGAGUAAUAAACCAUUCAUUAACCAUGAGUAAUUACACUUUUUAAAAUGCUAAUAACUUUUUAGUCCAUUAGCCUAUUGCAACGAAACUGGGCUCAAAAUAUUCCCUGGCUUAUGCCGAUAACAUAGAUACCAAAUAUGCCAGUGUUUACUGAAGUUCCGGUCCACCAUUUUGAUUUAUGUGGAAAACCUACUUUUUCGAACUCCUCAUGAACCGUAUGUCCAAUUUUCACCAAAUUCGAAUCAGAUGAUCUUCAGACUAUGUUGACACAAAGUUAUGGAUUUUGUGUCGAUAGACAAAACCGUUUUCGCAUACCAAAGCGACGAAGUUGAAACACAAUGACAAAAUGACACUUGAGGCUGCAUCUCUGGAAUGCUGUGGCAUAUUAACACCAAACUUUGUGUGUGUCAUUGAAAAGUCAAACAGAGUACACCAAAUUGAUUUCAUAACAGUGCCACCUAUUGGUCAAACUUUAUAAGCCAAGUAAUCAUGCUACUAGAGGUGGUAUUAUGAUUUUUUUUUUUGCCAUUUCAAUUACAAUAAUUCCAAAAUUACUGUUAUUGCUCAUUAAUGUAUUUGGUGUGAUGCUUCAUGCCAUGCUUAGCUCCUACAUUUGCCGUUGGAGUGCUUGGCCCCGUAAUUGCUGCUUGCAGCUAUAUUUAGGGGCCAAGCACCGAAGGUGCGAAGGCACCUAUUGUGUUUGUUGGCGUUAUUAUUAGGGGCCAAGCACCGAAGGUGCGAAGGCACCUAUUGUGUUUGUUGGCGUUAUUAUUAGGGGCCAAGCACCGAAGGUGCGUAGGCACCUAUUGUUUUCGUUGGCGUUAUUAUUAGGGGCCAAGCACCGAAGGUGCGAAGGCACCUAUUGUGUUUGUUGGCGUUAUUAUUAGGGGCCAAGCACCGAAGGUGCGUAGGCACCUAUUGUUUCCGUUGGCGUUAUUAUUAUUAUUCUGCUUCUUCUUCUUCUUCUUCUUCCGCCGCAAGUCUAUGGCAGCCCAUAGAACCGAUUGCGGGAAAGUUGUAUAAUUUGGCACACUGAUA